This 233-nucleotide ribosomal RNA is filed under the name uncultured bacterium. RNAcentral describes it as "partial 16S ribosomal RNA". It matches the Rfam family "Bacterial small subunit ribosomal RNA", at positions 103 to 334 of the family's 1533-position model. The record is from RNAcentral.
CGGGUGAGUAACGCGUGAGGAACCUGCCUCAAAGAGGGGGACAACAGUUGGAAACGACUGCUAAUACCGCAUAAGCCCACGGCUCGGCAUCGAGCAGAGGGAAAAGGAGCAAUCCGCUUUGAGAUGGCCUCGCGUCCGAUUAGCUGGUUGGUGAGGUAACGGCCCACCAAGGCGACGAUCGGUAGCCGGACUGAGAGGUUGAACGGCCACAUCGGGACUGAGACACGGCCCAG